CGGCAGGCCUAACACAUGCAAGUCGAGCGGUAGCACAGAGAGCUUGCUCUCGGGUGACGAGCGGCGGACGGGUGAGUAAUGUCUGGGAAACUGCCUGAUGGAGGGGGAUAACUACUGGAAACGGUAGCUAAUACCGCAUAAUGUCGCAAGACCAAAGUGGGGGACCUUCGGGCCUCAUGCCAUCAGAUGUGCCCAGAUGGGAUUAGCUAGUAGGUGGGGUAACGGCUCACCUAGGCGACGAUCCCUAGCUGGUCUGAGAGGAUGACCAGCCACACUGGAACUGAGACACGGUCCAGACUCCUACGGGAGGCAGCAGUGGGGAAUAUUGCACAAUGGGCGCAAGCCUGAUGCAGCCAUGCCGCGUGUGUGAAGAAGGCCUUCGGGUUGUAAAGCACUUUCAGCGGGGAGGAAGGCGGUGAGGUUAAUAACCUCACCGAUUGACGUUACCCGCAGAAGAAGCACCGGCUAACUCCGUGCCAGCAGCCGCGGUAAUACGGAGGGUGCAAGCGUUAAUCGGAAUUACUGGGCGUAAAGCGCACGCAGGCGGUCUGUCAAGUCGGAUGUGAAAUCCCCGGGCUCAACCUGGGAACUGCAUUCGAAACUGGCAGGCUAGAGUCUUGUAGAGGGGGGUAGAAUUCCAGGUGUAGCGGUGAAAUGCGUAGAGAUCUGGAGGAAUACCGGUGGCGAAGGCGGCCCCCUGGACAAAGACUGACGCUCAGGUGCGAAAGCGUGGGGAGUAAACAGGAUUAGAUACCCUGGUAGUCCACGCCGUAAACGAUGUCGAUUUGGAGGUUGUGCCCUUGAGGCGUGGCUUCCGGAGCUAACGCGUUAAAUCGACCGCCUGGGGAGUACGGCCGCAAGGUUAAAACUCAAAUGAAUUGACGGGGGCCCGCACAAGCGGUGGAGCAUGUGGUUUAAUUCGAUGCAACGCGAAGAACCUUACCUGGUCUUGACAUCCACAGAACUUUCCAGAGAUGGAUUGGUGCCUUCGGGAACUGUGAGACAGGUGCUGCAUGGCUGUCGUCAGCUCGUGUUGUGAAAUGUUGGGUUAAGUCCCGCAACGAGCGCAACCCUUAUCCUUUGUUGCCAGCGGUCCGGCCGGGAACUCAAAGGAGACUGCCAGUGAUAAACUGGAGGAAGGUGGGGAUGACGUCAAGUCAUCAUGGCCCUUACGACCAGGGCUACACACGUGCUACAAUGGCAUAUACAAAGAGAAGCGACCUCGCGAGAGCAAGCGGACCUCAUAAAGUAUGUCGUAGUCCGGAUUGGAGUCUGCAACUCGACUCCAUGAAGUCGGAAUCGCUAGUAAUCGUAGAUCAGAAUGCUACGGUGAAUACGUUCCCGGGCCUUGUACACACCGCCCGUCACACCAUGGGAGUGGGUUGCAAAAGAAGUAGGUAGCUUAACCUUCGGGAGGGCGCUUACCACUUUGUGAUUCAUGACU
Molecule: ribosomal RNA, 1444 nt
Filed under: uncultured organism
Description: SSU rRNA
Rfam family: Bacterial small subunit ribosomal RNA
Source: RNAcentral